Molecule: ribosomal RNA, 115 nt
Filed under: uncultured bacterium
Lineage: Bacteria
Description: partial 16S ribosomal RNA
Rfam family: Bacterial small subunit ribosomal RNA
Source: RNAcentral
CCGGUGAAUACGUUCCCGGGCCUUGUACACACCGCCCGUCAAGCCACGGAAGCUGGGGGUGCCUGAAGUCGGUGACCGCAAGGAGCUGCCUAGGGUAAAACCGGUAACUAGGGCU